AAGUCGUAACAAGGUUUCCGUAGGUGAACCUGCGGAAGGAUCAUCAACAAGAUUGGUAGGAUAUAGACCGAGUCUAUAUCGAUGACUACCGAUAUUUUUAACAUUUUCAAACCGGCUCUAUUGACGGAGAGAUAUUUUCGACCGAGGAAUGACAACCGAUGUUGGUUGCCGGAUCCAGUGGUCUGUGAACUUUUUAAACUUUUUGAUUGAAUUGCCUUGAUGUCUGAUAGUCGGACUGGCAUGGAACAGGAUUAAUAGACCGGAUUCAAGGUGUGAUACCUUUUCGGUGAAAAAAAAAGAAUGAAAAAAACUUUCGGCAAUGGAUCUCUCGGCUCUCC
RNAcentral lists this unclassified non-coding RNA (338 nucleotides) under fungal sp. Its description in RNAcentral is "partial internal transcribed spacer region". The stretch from base 1 to 46 matches the Rfam family "Eukaryotic small subunit ribosomal RNA", at positions 1786 to 1831 of the family's 1831-position model. The record is from RNAcentral. Lineage: Eukaryota; Fungi.